UUAACUUCUUUAAUGCAAUCAACCAUAAACUUUACUAUCUUAUCAGCAGUCAAGACCUCAAAUGGAAAUUCUUCUUGUUCAGAUUUGUCCUGUGUGGAGGAGGGUUCAGCCAUUUCCACGAAGUCUUCAUUAUCACUGGAAUCGAUUUCAACUUCACCUUCAGAGUCCUCAUCAUAUAUCAUAUCAUCUUCACUGUCCAUUUUCUUUCUUUUGUUUGAAAUAUUUAUAGAUCCCUCUUAUGAGUUGUUGCACAAAACAGGUCGUAUUUACAUCUGUGACGUCAUCUUCGGUCUGCGACCAACAGACGGUCACCAGUAUUUGGAAUUACUAGGGGAAACGAUUGAAUCUUUACUUAAAAUAUAAACAAUGACAUUCCCUUUUUGUCGAGCAUGACAUAAAUUGAAUUUGGUUGAAAAGAAAGCUUUGGUAAAUCUGAAUUUACGAAGAUGAUAUCACCUUCGCCGAGCUCCUCAUUCUCGAGGAUUCUGGGAAAGUUUUU
RNAcentral lists this long non-coding RNA (499 nucleotides) under Mytilus galloprovincialis (Mediterranean mussel). The record is from RNAcentral. Lineage: Eukaryota; Metazoa; Mollusca; Bivalvia; Mytilida; Mytilidae.